GAAAUAAUUCUGAUUAUAAAGAUGUCAUAGUUAAAUUGUAGCUAAGUUAAAUAGCAAUUUAACUUGUAUGUGGUGCAAAAUUUGUGGUUUGGGGCACCGACAUACCCUAUUUCUAUUAUAAAAUUCUAAGUGUAACCUUAUGUUAGUACAAAACAGGGGGGUUUGGGUGCACUAACAGAUCACAAAAAUAAUUAUCAAAGUCACCAAUGUAAUAUAGUUAUAUGUGGUACAAAUAGGGGGUUUUUAGAGUACCACAUAUACCAAAAUAUAAUCAAAUAACAAGCCAUUGUAAAUAAAAUAUUCAAACCACAAUUAUUUAUUUACAUUGGCCAUGUCCAGCAGUAUAGAGCAACAACAAUCAUACAAAUAUAGAUGUUCUUGCAGGGAUUAAUCUAGCAAACCAUAUGCUAAUUAACUUAAAACUACUGCUGUCAGAAAUAAAAUAAAAGAAAAUGAAAAAGAAAAGGGAGCCAAGGCAGCC
This 481-nucleotide long non-coding RNA is filed under the name Sorghum bicolor (sorghum). RNAcentral describes it as "long non-coding RNA (SBIC_LNC009330)". The record is from RNAcentral. Lineage: Eukaryota; Viridiplantae; Streptophyta; Magnoliopsida; Poales; Poaceae.